UCUCCAGUCACUGCCUGAACUCGGCUUUCCUGGACCUUAGGGGAUAAAUAGUGUGGUCCAGCACUGCCCUGGGUGAGCUGAGUCAUGCCCUUGGCAGGGUCGAGGAGCUCCCGUGAGGAGACCAAUCGCCUAGCGUGAGUCUUCUUCCGGGACUGCUCGCCCUCUGCCCUCUAGGUGCCGGGCGCCGCCCGUCCCCACCUCCAUCAGAACUCGGGUCAUCUGCGGAGCCUUGGCUGCGGCCCGGUACCUGGGUGUGACUCCGCCACUAACAUUUUCCCAGCAGGAAGCAGCAAGAAGCUCAGCACAGAAAUAAAACUGUCCUGGUGAGUCGCUCACAGCCUGUCCCAGUAACUGUUCCGGAGCGUCAGCCUGACGCAGCACCCCUGGAGGACCACGCCGUGCGGGCUGCGAGCCUCGCCCUUAACCAUGCCCAGCAGGACCAGAGCCGCCAGCACAAAUCAAGGUCCUGGCCAUUGAACAACUUCUGAGCCUGCACUUUAAGAAGGCGCUCUUGUUUUGAAUACGUAAUCUGUCCUGUUCUUUCAAAGUAGAUCUUGGUCAAGAAUGUCUCCAAAGCUGGAUUAAGCCAGUGUAAUUGAAUGGGAAUAUAGACAACCAGGACAGACUCAGAUUUUUUUUUAAUGUAUUGGCCCAGGAAGGCUAGAAAUCCUCCACUUGACCUAACAGAAGAUAAUUAGAAUUAAAAAUGGCACUAACUGAAAACGUACUUGUUAAAUUGCCUGUGCUUAUAGA
This 753-nucleotide small RNA is filed under the name Pongo abelii (Sumatran orangutan). RNAcentral describes it as "processed transcript". Lineage: Eukaryota; Metazoa; Chordata; Mammalia; Primates; Hominidae. The record is from RNAcentral.